This 1239-nucleotide long non-coding RNA is filed under the name Mus musculus (house mouse). RNAcentral describes it as "long non-coding RNA chr13:71148446-71149685". Lineage: Eukaryota; Metazoa; Chordata; Mammalia; Rodentia; Muridae. The record is from RNAcentral.
ACACUCAUUCAGAGUUUCUCUGAAGCCUCAGAAAGCCCUGACUCUAAAGACAGACAGCAUCGUCUUCUGACUCCAGUCUGGAUUCCAGAGAAUGUCAGUGGCUGGACUGGCCUCUCUGCUCCUCCCUGCACUGCUCUGCCACCUCUGCUGGAGUUCUUGGCCUCUCUGUCCCUUUGUUUCUUCAGUGAUAAGGUAUGUUAGGGGCACCAGAUAACUUGAUCUCUGGAAAGCACUGAGAACAACCCCAGUAUUUAGCGAGCACUUCUCAGUGUUUGUUAAAUGGAGUGAACUGCUUUGGAGAAAGGACUUAGCAUUUUCUUGGCAGAUGUGCUGGGCAUACUUAAUAUUAUUUCAGUCAUUCUUAUGAAUCUUAACUAAUGCUGGUCUCCUCGAGAGUCACCACUCAGAAUAAAUAAUGUGUCCUUCCUUUGUUUCUUCACCAGCACUCACCACAGGUCCCCUCGGAGGAGGGCCCUGUGCUCCGCUUCACCCUUUGUGGCCCAGGUUUCUCUUUGUGCCUGGCACACAGGAGGCAUUCAGUAAACAGUUGUUUAAUUAAUUUCAUAUUGUCUGAGGGUGGCAAUUUGCAAAGAAAAAGGAAGGCGAUGUUCUCCUUUAGAAAGAGUUUGUUUGGGCCGCGUCUGCCUGCACUUUACAAAAGCAAAGUGUCUUCUGGUUCCAUUACAUCACCCAGCCAAUUAAUCAGCACUUGAAUGAGUCUCCAGACAGAGCCUUCAUUUUGUCUACUUAUUAACUUUCAUUAUGUGCACAGCUAAAGUGUAAUUGUGAGCAGGAUGGAUUAUGCUGUAAACUUUUUUCCUAUUACACCAUUCCUUCACAAAUCCCCUUAUUAAAGUGUUCCAGGGGUGAUAUAUUAUGUUAAGAAGGUUUAAAACAUAAGGUGACAAUGACCUUCCCUUUAAUUAACUAUGAUGGAGACAAAGGUUAGAACAAUGAUGAUGAGCUGGGCUGAGCACCAUAAAUCACCUCCACGCGGAAGACAGGACACAGCUACAAAAAUAACCUUGCGACUCACAGGUUAAGUGAGCAUCCCCACACGCUGUCCCCCACCAGUACUUCUCUGAACACAGCCCCACUGUGUCUCAGGCACAGCAGCUCUGCAGGGGAGAGUACCGAUACCACCUCCUCCAAGACCAAUCUCAAAAACUUAGCUCUGUUAAAGUGUUUAAAACAAUAACAACAACAACACCAAUAACAUUAUCAAGUGACUUUCAGUUU